This is a long non-coding RNA of Mauremys reevesii (Reeves's turtle), 308 nucleotides long. RefSeq lists it as uncharacterized. The transcript is spliced from 3 exons. The record is from RefSeq and is a predicted model, not a curated record. Lineage: Eukaryota; Metazoa; Chordata; Testudines; Geoemydidae.
CUAAACAAACGUCCUCUGAGUUCUGCUGUGCAUUUAAGUGCUUGGCAUAUCGUCCAAGUCCUGCUGUAUGACACUGAUACCGUGAAUCUGUAAUUUAUCACUCUACUUAUGGUUCUACAAACCUGGCACUACAAGGAUGGGCUAACCGUAAUCCUCACUAAUAUAUCGCUCCAAAGACAUCUUAUCCCUGGACCAGCAUUUUUACACAGUUCUUCUUGUCUGAAUGCUUCACAGUCUGGAGGCUUGUACACAAGGAUAUCAUUCAACAGAACACUUGAAAAACCCCCAAAUAUGUACAUGGACCUAAU